Molecule: unclassified non-coding RNA, 200 nt
Filed under: uncultured fungus
Lineage: Eukaryota; Fungi
Description: sequence contains ITS1, 5.8S rRNA gene
Source: RNAcentral
CUGAGUCGUCGACACGAGUUGUUGCUGGUCCUCAAACAGGGGACAUGUGCACGCUCUGUUUACACAUCCACUCACACCUGUGCACGCUCUGUAGUUCUAUGGUCUGGGGGGCCCUGCCUCCCUUCUGUGGUUCUGCAUCUUUACACACACACUGUAAUAAAGUCUUAUGGAAUGUGUGCCGCGUUUAACGCAAUGAAAUA